This 301-nucleotide ribosomal RNA is filed under the name uncultured bacterium. RNAcentral describes it as "partial 16S ribosomal RNA". It matches the Rfam family "Bacterial small subunit ribosomal RNA", at positions 509 to 807 of the family's 1533-position model. The record is from RNAcentral.
CAGUCGCCACGGUAAUACGAAGGGUGCAAGCGUUAAUCGGAAUUACUGGGCGUAAAGCGUGCGUAGGCGGUUUGUUAAGUCUGUUGUGAAAUCCCCGGGCUCAACCUGGGAAUGGCAAUGGAUACUGGCAAGCUAGAGUGUGUCAGAGGAUGGUGGAAUUCCCGGUGUAGCGGUGAAAUGCGUAGAGAUCGGGAGGAACACCAGUGGCGAAGGCGGCUCACUGGUCCAUUACUGACGCUGAGAUGCGAAAGCGUGGGGAGCAAACAGGAUUAGAUACCCCCGUAGUCCCUGUCUCUUAUAC